RNAcentral lists this ribosomal RNA (292 nucleotides) under uncultured bacterium. RNAcentral's name for it is "partial 16S ribosomal RNA". It matches the Rfam family "Bacterial small subunit ribosomal RNA", at positions 505 to 796 of the family's 1533-position model. The record is from RNAcentral.
GUGCCAGCAGCCGCGGUAAUACGUAGGGAGCAAGCGUUGUCCGGAAUCAUUGGGCGUAAAGCGCGCGUAGUUGGCUUCGUAAGUCCGUUGUGAAAGUCAAAGGCUCAACCUUUGAAAGCCGAUGGAUACUGUGAAGCUAGAGUACGUAAGAGGCGAGUGGAAUUCCUGGUGUAGCGGUGGAAUGCGCAGAUAUCAGGAGGAACACCAAUAGCGAAGGCAGCUCGCUGGGACGUUACUGACACUGAGGCGCGAAAGCGUGGGGAGCGAACAGGAUUAGAAACCCCUGUAGUCC